UGCAAGUCGAGCGGAAAGGCCCUUCGGGGUACUCGAGCGGCGAACGGGUGAGUAACACGUGAGUAACCUGCCCCUGACUCUGGGAUAAGCCUGGGAAACCGGGUCUAAUACCGGAUAUGACACUCCUCCGCAUGGUGUGGGUGUGGAAAGUUUUUUCGGUUGGGGAUGGACUCGCGGCCUAUCAGCUUGUUGGUGGGGUGAUGGCCUACCAAGGCGACGACGGGUAGCCGGCCUGAGAGGGCGACCGGCCACACUGGGACUGAGACACGGCCCAGACUCCUACGGGAGGCAGCAGUGGGGAAUAUUGCGCAAUGGGCGAAAGCCUGACGCAGCGACGCCGCGUGGGGGAUGACGGCCUUCGGGUUGUAAACCUCUUUCAGCAGGGACGAAGUUGACGUGUACCUGUAGAAGAAGCGCCGGCUAACUACGUGCCAGCAGCCGCGGUAAUACGUAGGGCGCGAGCGUUGUCCGGAAUUAUUGGGCGUAAAGAGCUCGUAGGUGGCUUGUUGCGUCUGCCGUGAAAGCCCGUGGCUUAACUACGGGUCUGCGGUGGAUACGGGCAGGCUAGAGGCUGGUAGGGGCAAGCGGAAUUCCUGGUGUAGCGGUGAAAUGCGCAGAUAUCAGGAGGAACACCGGUGGCGAAGGCGGCUUGCUGGGCCAGUUCUGACGCUGAGGAGCGAAAGCGUGGGGAGCGAACAGGAUUAGAUACCCUGGUAGUCCACGCUGUAAACGUUGGGCGCUAGGUGUGGGGGUCUUCCACGAUCUCUGUGCCGUAGCUAACGCAUUAAGCGCCC
RNAcentral lists this ribosomal RNA (794 nucleotides) under Microbispora sp. R17-10. RNAcentral describes it as "bacterial SSU rRNA". It matches the Rfam family "Bacterial small subunit ribosomal RNA", at positions 56 to 869 of the family's 1533-position model. Lineage: Bacteria; Bacillati; Actinomycetota; Actinomycetes; Streptosporangiales; Streptosporangiaceae. The record is from RNAcentral.